RNAcentral lists this ribosomal RNA (305 nucleotides) under uncultured bacterium. RNAcentral describes it as "bacterial SSU rRNA". It matches the Rfam family "Bacterial small subunit ribosomal RNA", at positions 335 to 654 of the family's 1533-position model. The record is from RNAcentral.
GCUCCUACGGGGGGCAGCAGUGGGGAAUAUUGGGCAAUGGGCGCAAGCCUGACCCAGCAACGCCGCGUGAAGGAAGAAGGCUUUCGGGUUGUAAACUUCUUUUAUUGAGGACGAAACAAAUGACGGUACUCAAUGAAUAAGCCACGGCUAACUACGUGCCAGCAGCCGCGGUAAUACGUAGGUGGCAAGCGUUAUCCGGAUUUACUGGGUGUAAAGGGCGUGUAGGCGGGACUGCAAGUCAGAUGUGAAACCAAUGGGCUCAACCCAUGGCCUGCCUUUUGAACUGUGGUUUGUGAGUGAUGGAG